Hypanus sabinus (Atlantic stingray) is the source of this 5965-nucleotide long non-coding RNA. RefSeq lists it as uncharacterized. Lineage: Eukaryota; Metazoa; Chordata; Chondrichthyes; Myliobatiformes; Dasyatidae. The transcript is spliced from 3 exons. The record is from RefSeq and is a predicted model, not a curated record.
GCCAGGCAUCUCUGCAGAAGGUCAACGAGGUGGUUAAGAAGGCUUAUGGAAAGCUCGUUUUUAUUUGUCAAGGCAUUGAGUGCAAAAGACUGGAGGUUAUGUUGCAAAGUUAUAAAAGUCUGGUUUGGCCACAUCUGGAGUAUUGUGACCCUUCUGGUCGCCCCACUAUAGGAGGGAGUUGAGGCUCUGGAGAGGGUGCAGAGGAGGUUCGCCUGGUUUAGAGGGCAUGUGAGAAACUGAAUAAACUUGGGUUGCUUUCUCUGCGGCAGUGGAAGCUGACAGAAGAUCUGAAUGAGGUUUGUACGAUUAUGAGAGGCAUCGAUAGGGAGCAACUUUUUCACAGGUUUGAAAUGUCUAAUACCAGAGGGCAUGCACUGAAGUGAGAAGAUUAGGUUCGAAGAGGAUGUCAGGGGUAAGUUUUCUAUUCAGAGAGUCACGGAUGUGGUAUGGUGGUAGAGACAAAUACAUGGAUGGUUUUAAAGAGAUGUUUGGGUAGCCAAAUGGAUUACGGAAGAUGGAGAGACAUUGACAUGGUGUAAGUAGGAGGGAUUAGUGUGUUUCUGUGUUUUUGAUUUGCUCUUUAGCUGGUUCAGCACAAAAUUGCGGGCCGAAUGGCUUGUUCCUGUACUGUACUGUUCUAUGACUAGCUGGAAGGUGAUAGGUGAAGCUGGCUGGGUGGGAAAGGAAGCUAUGUCUCCCCACCCCCCACCCCCAGGCCAUCUUUUUAACUCUGACAUCUUCCCCCUUUUUUUCUGGUGCUGAAGAAGUUCUCAGAAAUAUCAAUUGUUCAGUUCCAUGGAUACUGCCUGACCUGCUGAGUUCCUCCAGCCUUUUCCUGUAUGUUGCUUUGGACUUCCAGCAUCUGCAAAACCUCUCCUGUUUACCAGAAUCAAGUUUAAUAACACUGGCAUAUGUCACGAAAUUUGUUGUCUUUGCAGUACAAUGCCAUACAUAAUAGAGAAAAAAACUGAAUUACAGUAAGUAUAUACAUUAAAGUUAAAUAAGUAAUGUAAAAAUAGAAACAAUAGAAGUAGUGAGGUUGUGUUCAUGGGUUCAAUGUCCAUUCAGAAAUCUGUUGGCGGAGGGGGAAAAGCUGUCCCUGAAUCGUUGAGUGUGGGUCUUCAGGCUCCUGGCACAGAGGUUUACUGAGGCUACUGGGAAGAGCUUAAACUAGAAUUGCUGGGAACCGAACUGAAGAGACGGAGAAAGGGAUGGUUGUCUCACAAAUAGAGAAAGCUUGUAGGCAGUGUGAGAGGGAGGACAGGCAGGUGAUAGAGAAGGGAUGCGCUCAGAUUGAAGGUGAGCUGUGCCUGUUUUAAUGCAAAGAGCAUCAUGAACAGAAGAGCUUAGAGCAUGGAUCAGUACUUGGAGAUAUGAUGUGGUGGCCAUUGCAGAGACUUGGAUGGCUCAGGGGCAGGAAUGGCUACUUAAGAGUGCCAGGCUUUAGAUGUUUCACAAAGGUCAGGGAGGGAGGCAAAAAAGGUGGAGGGGGUGGCGCGGAUGACUAGAGAUAAUUUCAGUGCUGCAGUAAAGGAGGAAGUCAUGGAGGGAUUAUCUAUUGAGUCACUGUGGGUGGAAGUUAAAAACAGGAAGGAGUCAAUAACUCUACUGGGUGUUUUUUUCAUAGACCACUCAACAGUAACAGCGACAUCAAGGAUCAGAUAGGGAGACAGAUUCUGGAAUGGUGCAGUAAUAAUAGGGUUGUCGUGAUGGGGGAUUUUAAUUUCCCAAAACUGAUUGGCAUCUCCCUAGAGCAAGGGGUUUAGACAGAGUGGAGUUUGUUCAGAAAGGUUUCCUGACACCACUUCUUCGGUUAUCCAUCGACUUUGACGUUGACUGCGCUGAGAGUUUAGUCUCUGCAGGCACGUUUAUGGGCCACAAGACCGGCAUUGGAUCGGCGCUGUCUCCCACAUCUGUUGCAUUUCUGAUUUGACUGGUCUAGCACCGACUGUCUGCGUUCAUGACCUGCUUCAUAUUUCUUCUGCCUUUUCUCCUCGAUAACUGGGAUUGACUUCUUGACAAUGCAGCGCCAACUUCUUCUGUCCGAAGCAUCUUUGACAUCCAUGUCAGUGUUCUUCAUAUGACGCUUGAGCACAUCUUAGUAGCGCAGCUUCUGACCACCACGCUUCCUCUUUCCUUCAUGUAGCUCGCCACAGAAAACAGCUCUGGGUAAACUAUUUCCUGACACAGUACGUAGGUAAGUCUACAAGAGGAGAGGCUGUACUUCAUCUGGUACUGGGAAAUUACCCUGGUCAGAUGUCAGAUCUCUCAGUGAGAGAACGUUUUGGAGAGGGUGAUCACAAUUCUAUCUCCUUUACCAUAGCAUUGGAGACGGGUAGGAACAGACAAGUUAAGAAAGCUUUUAACUGGUGUAAGGGGAAAUAUGAAGCUGUCAGGCAGGAACUUGGGGGCAUAAAUUGGGAACAAAUGUUCUCAGGGAAAUGUACAGCAGAAAUGUGGCAAAUGUUCAGGGGAUAUUUGCAGGGCGUUCUGUAUAGGUACGUACCAAUGAGACAGGGAAAGGAUGGUAGGGUACAAGAAAAUUGUGUACAAAGGCAGUUGGAAAUCUAGUCAAAGGGAAGAGCUUAUGAAAGGUUCAAAAAACUAGGAAAUGAUAGAGAUCUAGAAAAUUAUAAGGCUAGCAGGAAGGAGCUUAAGAAUGAAAUUAGGAGAGCCAGAAGGGGUCAUGAGAAGGCCUUGGCAAGUAGGAUUAAGAAAAAUCCCAAGGCAUCCUACAAGUAUGUGAAGAGCAAGAGGAUAAGAUGUGGGAGAAUAGGACCUAUCAAGUGUGACAGUGGAAAAGUGUGCAUGGAACCGGAGGAGGUAGCAGAGGUUUCAGUAUUCACUGCAGAAAAGGACCAUGGCAAUUGUAGGGCUGACUUACAGUGGACUGAAAAGCUUGAGCAUAUAGACAUUAAAAAAGAGGAUGUGGUGGAGCUUUUGGAAAGCAUCAAGUUGGAUAAGUCACCAGACUAGACUAGAUAUACCCCAGGCUACUGUGGGAAGCGAGGGAGAGGAUUGCUGAGCCUCUGGCGAUGAUCUUUGAAUCAUCAAUGAGAACAGAUUCUCAAUGAGGUUCUGGAGGAUUGCGGAUGUUGUUUCCUUAUUCAAGAAAAAGAGUAGAAAGGAAAUUAUAGAGCAGUGAGGCUUACUUCAGUGGUUGGUAAGUUGAUGGAGAAGAUCCUGUGAGGCAGGAUUUAUGAACAUUUGGAGAGGCAUAAUAACCAUAUAACAAUUACAGCACAGAAACAGGCCAUCUCAGCCCUUCUAGUCCAUGUGGAACGCUUAUUCUCAACUAGUCCCACCGACCUGCACUCAGCCCUCCAUUCCUUUCCUGUCCAUAUACCUAUCCAAUUUUACUUUAAAUGACAAUAUUGAACCUGCCUCUAUCACUUCUACUGGAAGCUCGUUCCACACAGCUACCACUCUGAGUAAAGAAAUUUCCCCUCGUAUUACCCCUAUGCUUUUGUCCCCUAACUCUAAUCUCCCCUACUCUCAAUGGAAAAAGCCUAUCAACCUCAACUCUAUCUAUCCCCCUCAUAGUUCUAAAUACCUCUAUCGUCCCCCCUCAACCUUCUACGCUCCAAAGAAUAAAGACCUAACUUGUUCAACCUUUGUCUGUAACUUGUGUGCUGAAACCCAGGUAACAUUCUAGUAAAUCUCCUCUGUAUUCUAUUUUCCUACAUAUAAUAUGAUUAGGAGUAGUCAGCAUGGCUUUGUCAAAGGCAGGUCAUGCCUUACCAGCCUGAUUGAAUUUUUUGAGGAUAUAACUAAACACAUCGAUGAAGGUAGAGUAGUAGAUGUAGUGUACAUGGACUUCAGGCUUAUUGAGAAAGUAAGGAUGCAUGGGAUCCAAGGGGACAUUGCUUUGUGGAUCUAGAAUUGGCUUGCCCACAGAAGGCAAAGAGUGGUUGUAGAUGGGUCAUAUUCUGCAUGGAGGUUGGUGACCAGUGGUGUGCCUCAGGGAUCUGUUCUGGGACCCCUUCUCUUCAUGAUUUUCAUAAAUGACCUGGAUGAGGAAGUGGAGGGAUGGGUUAGUAAAUGUGCUGAUGACACAAAGGUUGGGGGUGUUGUGGAUAGUGUGGAGGGCUGUCAGAGGUUACAGAGGGACAUUGAUAGGAUUCAAAACUGGACUGAGAAGUGGCAGUUGGCGUUCAACCCAGGGAGACCAGCCUGUCCACAGUACUCCAUGUGCAGUCUCCCCAGGGCCCUGGAGUGUAGGAGCAAGACCUGGAUUGAAAUCCUCGCUAUGAAGACCAGCUUGCUGUUUGUGUUCUGAACAAUCUGCAGUUCCCCUGUGCUAAUCUUCGGUGGCUAGUGUACAAGGACAGACGGGUCCCUCUGCGCAUGAACACCGAUCGAUCUCUCACGGCGUUCCACAUGAUGCUCCAACGCUUCCCGAUCUCCUCAGCCACUCCAUCACGCACGUGAACAGCGGGGACUCCAGACACAUCCCAAGACGCUCCAAAUCAGGACAUCCUCACCCCAGUCGAUUGUAACGAACCACAAAGCGAUGCAAAUAGAUUGUCAGCAUGUGUCACCAAGAUCAAACAGGUCAUCAAUGACAGGCAAUUCAAAGAACUUCUAGUGGGACCGGAGAAAAUCACAUGGAAGGCAUUCAAGGGCGUUCAAAAUGUUCUUGGCAACUACAGAGCACCAAAUUACAUGCAACUGACUGACAUCAUGCUUCAAGCACACAAAACCGUGAAGCGCAACAUGUCACAAAAGAUUCAUCUUCUACAUUCCCAUUUAGACUUUUUCCAGCAAACCUUAGGGCUGUUGGUGACAUUGCGGUCACGGAGAAAUGGUAUCAGGCCAACUGGAAUCCAUCAAUGCCGGCUGAUUAUUGUCGGACACUUCAGCGAGAAGCCUCAGAAGUGGAGUACAUCAACAUUUUUAGCUUAGUUGAACUACCGCAAAGCAUUAUGCAGUUAAAUGCAAUAUAUUCAAUAAAAGUUAAUUUCUUGUUUCUCCAAAUUCCUAAGUGACACAAGUAGCCUGAAAUUACAUUGGUGUUCAGCUCCAAGCAGCCUAACAUAAACAAAAUUUUCUAAGGAAGCAACACUUUUGAAAAAACCUGUUGACAAGUAUUAGCAGUCCAGGCAAGGAACCGAAGGCCUCAUUGUCCACCCCAUCUUCAGGCGUGAGCUGUAAAUGAGGGCCUCUGUUGGUUAGGGUCGACCAUGCAUUGCAGGGCAGUACGAUACGGGGAGCCAGCUGUUGCCCACGCGGCAGGAUGCCCAUCUCCCUGCGGCUGAUAAACCCGAAGGAACAGCACAGACCGAUACAGUUUAGCACAGGAGCUGCCAGUCCCCACUGAAUUCCACUUAGGACUGCCUUGGGAACUCCUGCUACAGAAUUACUCCCGAGGCCUUUCCCAUGAGAGGACACAGCCUCAAGGCAGCGGAGGUUUAAGAUGGGAGCUUUCCUUCUCCUAGAUGAGCUGCCAACCACAAUUGACGAGCCCCAUCUGCCCAAAGCGACUGGUUUUGUGGUGCCCGAACCCGCCUUGACCCUUCUCCUGUCAGUAGGAAUGCCUCUGCUGGGCUUAGUAGCUAAGCCGCACAUGAAGACCGGGAGCUAGAUUUGGUUGUCAGAGGCUCUUUGUGACAGACGCCAUGAGAACAUUUAACAGGGAGUGGGAGCUUAUCCAGACUAUUCACCCUGGCAGUGGUCCAUGCUAAUCCAGUGACCGAGCGCCAGCAGACCACAGACACAAGCGCGUCCUGGCAGCUGCCACCAUCUCCAAGCCCUGGCGCAUCGCUUGUGCCCACAGGCAAAUCCACUGAUCAGUUUUAGUCGCAGAAACAGGCCCUUUUGCCCAUCGAAUUGUGCCAUCCUUCAACCACCCGAUGACACUGAUCACUUUUCAUCUGUCCCCCAUUCCCAUCGAUUACCCCACCCAGAUUCUCCCCCCUCGCCCACACAAUUCACCCAUCCAUUACCGCACCCAGAUUCUCCCCCU